AUGCCGCGACACCGCCGCUGCAGCCGGCUGCGCCGCAUCGUCGGCGGUGUCUCAGUCGGAGCUCUCCUGCUGUUAGCCGGAAGCGGAGGCCACAACGCCUACUCGGGCCGCCCGGUCUUCUCGCUGCCCCUCGGCCUCGGCGCCCCCUUCCCGCUCGUCGCCGACAGUCCGGCGCCCCCGCCCUUCCCGUUCGCUGCCGACUUUUCUCCUUCGCCGUCCCCGCAAUCCCAAUACUCGCCCUUCCGCCUCAGCGAUGACAGCCUCGCGCGGCGCCUUCUGCCCCUCCGCCUCCGCGCCAGCCAAAACGCGGAUGCGGUCCUCCUUCCCGACCAGGAGGUCCUGAUCCUGGACGACGCUGAGCCUACCGGCGACGCCAUCUGCGCCUUCCAGGGCGGGGCUUCCUCCCCGGCGAGACCGCUCGGGAUGCUGCCGGCGUCCGGACUUCACGCAUACGUCUGCCGCCUUCCCGACCCAGCGCAGAGCUUCCAGCAGCUCCAAGCGCCGCUCUUACUCCACUCCUCCACCUCCUCGGCCGCCGCAGCUGCUCCAGAUUCCCCUUCUCCUUCUCCGGGCCGCGCAUUGCUUAACUGGAGCAGCGACCCGAUAGUGUUUGACUCGGCUCAUCUGGACGGAGGCGACGUGCUCGUCUUCGCUAAGGGAAUCAGCCGCCGCCAAGGCCUUCAGUGCCUGUAUCGCUACAGCGACGGCGCCGAUACCAUGCUGGCAACUACACCGGCAAUCACCUCAGUACAGCAAGUUACUCGCUGCCCCUCGCCGCCGACACCUGUCAAGUCAGGAGGAAGCACCAAGGUUCUUGUCACACUAGGGGUCACCGGCGAGGAUCCCAUGCCCUCCCUUGCAACCUUUCGUCGACAGCAAGCUGAAUCUUCUUCGGUGACUCCUCAAAAGAGUUCAAUUUGCGCCUGCACAAUGGGACGCAACAUCUCCAAGUUUCUCAGGGAGUGGGCACUCUACCAUAGUGCGAUUGGGAUGGAUCAGUUCUUUAUCUAUGAUAAUGGCAGCGAGGACAACUUGGCAGGCCUAGUGGCGCAGCUUUCCUCCGGGCUCAACAUCACAACCGUGCCAUGGCCUUGGACCAAGGUCCAAGAAGCUGGUCUGUCUCAUUGCGCGGCCACACAGCAAGCUUCGUGCCAAUGGAUGGCUGUCAUAGAUGUUGAUGAGUUCAUCUUCUCAACAAGCUGGGCAGGAUUAGAGAAGCCAUCAAAAUCUUUGCUAGAGCCCGUUAUUUCUGUUGAUGAUAGCGUUGGCCAAAUAUACCUUGCUUGUUAUGAUUUUGCCCCCUCGGGCCAAACAGCACAUCCACCGGAGGGGGUCUGCCAGGGCUACACUUGCCGGUUGAAGAGCCCGCAGCGGCACAAAUCCUUGGUCCGCCUCGACGCCGUGGAACCAUCCCUCAUGAAUGUGGUCCAUCGUUUUAAGCUCAAGCCUGCUUUCAAAAGCAUCUGGACCGCGUUCGCACGUGUUAACCACUAUAAAUACCAAGCUUGGUCGGAGUUCAAAGUCAAGUUCAAGAGGCGCGUGUCCGCUUAUGUGGCUGAUUGGAAAGAUCCGAUCAACCUCGACUCAAAGGACCGGGCUCCUGGCUUAGGAGUUGAUGACACCGAACCAAAAGGCUGGGCCCAAAGAUACUGCGAGGUUAAAGACAAUAUCCUUCAGCUGUUAACUGCAAGAUGGUUCGGUGUCGGAUUUGGGAACCCUCAUUAG
This 1725-nucleotide ribosomal RNA is filed under the name Triticum aestivum (bread wheat). RNAcentral's name for it is "partial small subunit ribosomal RNA". Lineage: Eukaryota; Viridiplantae; Streptophyta; Magnoliopsida; Poales; Poaceae. The record is from RNAcentral.